CACAUUGUAUGCAAUUGCCUUUGUUGAUUCUUGAUCGUGUCGAGUUGAUUACAUUUAUUGAACAAGUAAAUACAAAGUCGGAAUCCAUCACAUAUAACAUCUGCAGUGGCCGCUGCACUGUUGAAAUAUCUACAAAGACAAAAUAGAGACAGUCAUAAUACAAACAAACAAAAAAAAUAUGUAGAACUGGGAAAAGAGACGGAGGAGGCCCAAGUGCGAUGGUAACGCUGAAGUGUGAUGAUUUACGCCUUAGUGCGAUGGCCUGUACGCAUGAAAUAAAAUCAACAGAAGUGCAUUUAUAACAUGUAUAAUAUAAAAGUAGAUUAAUUGAUUGUUAAAACGUGGUGUAUAUAAAUUUAAAUCAAUUAUUAUGGUCUAUGGAUAUCCUUACAAUUGCACACUAUAUGAGAGAUUGUCCUUUUUGAUUUUCUAUAUGUGGGAACACUUCUGCAUUAGCAUUUUAUCUAUAAUACGUUGUUGCAUUCAUAAGGUUUUCGUUUCUCACAAAUGUAUAGAUGGCUGUAUUUGAAAAAUGUCACGCCCAAUCGCACGCAAAGCAGAAUCUUUCGGAUAUUUCGAAAAAUAAAAACCCAUUGCUACAGAAGAUUAACUCUCUUCUAUCAAAAAAUCCUUUCCGUUAAAAAAAGAUAAAAAAAAACUCUAAUUAAAAAAGGCUUAUAACAUACACAUUGACAUCUCCAUCGACAUGAAAAUCAUUGCAGGUAACUCAUCAUAGAUACCAGGAUUAAAUUUAGUAUUUACGCUAGACGCGGGACUCGUAAAAAAAAAAGACUCAUCAGUGAAACUCGAAUCCAAAAAAGUUUAAAGACCAUAUAAAAACGAAGUAAAUAUAGUUUGUGGAGACCAUAGCAUUUCAGCAUUGUCACGUACAUCGUAAUUCGGCGUCGCUAUCAACAAAAUAGUGUCAAAAUGACAACAUCGAAAUUGAGCUAGAACAAAAACGCACUUCAGCGUGACCAUCGCGGUCCGGAGUACCAUCGCGGUUCGGAAUAGCAUCGCUGUGCGAAGUCCUGCAUAUAAUAUAUACAUCCUCUUUCAUUCUCCAUAUAAAUACUGGUGAGCAAAUGGUCAAAAUAGGUGCACUUUGGGUACUCUCACAUUUGAAUAAUAUAAAAAAAAAUGAUUGAACCAUACGAAAAAAUAACUAUUUCUAUUUUGUAUUACAUCAAUGGUAAUUGUACAGGUUUUGUGCGUAUUCGUGGUUUUAGUAAGGGUUUUAAUAUUUUAAUUACAAAUAAAUAUUCGAUUUGAAAGUAAUUG
Molecule: long non-coding RNA, 1281 nt
Filed under: Mytilus galloprovincialis (Mediterranean mussel)
Lineage: Eukaryota; Metazoa; Mollusca; Bivalvia; Mytilida; Mytilidae
Source: RNAcentral